RNAcentral lists this long non-coding RNA (1364 nucleotides) under Oncorhynchus mykiss (rainbow trout). Its description in RNAcentral is "lncRNA (ENSOMYG00000051742.1)". The record is from RNAcentral. Lineage: Eukaryota; Metazoa; Chordata; Actinopteri; Salmoniformes; Salmonidae.
GGGAGGGAAACGAGAGUUGCGAGGCAAAGGACUGGUCACAUGACCAACAGCCAGAGCUCUGUUUACAAACCAAAGAGAGAGAGAGAGAGAGAGACCCUUGUAUUGAAUUGAGAGAGGCAGAGGCAGAAAUAUAGGAACAGCAGCAGCAAUAGCAGAAGCAGCAGAGGAGGAUCGAGGCAGAUUUCUAGACCACCAUUAUGGAUUGAGACGAAGAGGGAACCCUGCCACCAUGACCAGGCCAGCUGGAGUCAUCACUUGGACGUCAAUGUCGAGAGAGGAGAAGGAGCACACACGAGGACUGCAGCACUCCCAAUCCCACAUCUCCCAAUCCUAACCCUCGGGAGCUAAUCCAGAUUUGGGAAUGUCGCGCAUGGAUUGCUGAGUGGACAAAACCGCACAGCCAGAAUCUGCACAAUCUUCUUCUCGGAAUUCUGAUCAUCUUCAUGGUUUUGUUUUUGGACGAUCCACCACAACCUCAAACCACCCCAGCGACUCGUUUGUCUUCUUUUAGCCCCAGUUUAGAGACUGAUUUUGGGCUUCCGGGCAUCGGGGUAACCUGGUAGUUUGGCCCUCAUACAGGUCCAGCCUUCUCCUGACAGGGCCUGGAUUUACUGCUGCAGUCCUGGGAGUCAGGUUUCAUGCAACCAUUCCAAUGGUGUAACGGUAAGUGUUUUCCCCCAACCUUCUGCCAAGUCAAUGUAACGCAGUCUGUAGCUUACACAGCCUGUGUGUUCCACUAUAACACUCCCCCCUCCCUUCAACUCUUUACUUACUGCUAACAGGGCUUCUGUAUUGCAAGCAUUGAUAUGCUUGAGAAAUGACGAAAUUGAAUGCGGGUUCAGUUGGGUUUUGUCGAAAGGGUGAAACGGCACUCAAAAUAAUUCAAUUUCCCAGUGUGAUGUUUAGUUAGUUAUAUAUACAGUGGGGCAAAAAAGUAUUUAGUCAGCCACCAAUUGUGCAAGUUCUCCCACUUAAAAAGAUGAGAGGCCUGUAAUUUUCAUCAUAGGUACACUUCAACUAUGACAGACAAAAUGAGAAGAAAAAAUCUAGAAAAUCACACUGUAGGAUUUUUUAUGAAUUUAUUUGCAAAUUAUGGUGGAAAAUAGGUAUUUGGUCACCUACAAACAAGUAAGAUUUCUGGCUCUCACAGACCUGUAACUUCUGACUAAAUACUUUUUUGCCCCACUGUAUAUAGGCUACAUAGCAACCAUCAUGUAACUGUAACUAACGGUACGACUAGAGGUUGUUUAGCUAUUCAAUACCUAGCCGGUCUCUGCAUAUGGUCCAUUCUACAUCUGAGAAAAUAAACUGUCUAUGUAACCAUGUUUCAAUUCUAAGACCCCCUACUCCCAUUCGCCCCUCCC